RNAcentral lists this ribosomal RNA (433 nucleotides) under uncultured bacterium. RNAcentral describes it as "bacterial SSU rRNA". It matches the Rfam family "Bacterial small subunit ribosomal RNA", at positions 29 to 507 of the family's 1533-position model. The record is from RNAcentral.
AACGAACGCUGGCGGCAUGCCUAACACAUGCAAGUCGAACGAACCCUUCGGGGUUAGUGGCGCACGGGUGCGUAACGCGUGGGAACCUGCCUUUAGGUUCGGAAUAACAGUUAGAAAUGACUGCUAAUACCGGAUGAUGUCUUCGGACCAAAGAUUUAUCGCCUUUAGAUGGGCCCGCGUUGGAUUAGCUAGUUGGUGGGGUAAAGGCCUACCAAGGCGACGAUCCAUAGCUGGUCUGAGAGGAUGAUCAGCCACACUGGGACUGAGACACGGCCCAGACUCCUACGGGAGGCAGCAGUGGGGAAUAUUGGACAAUGGGCGAAAGCCUGAUCCAGCAAUGCCGCGUGAGUGAUGAAGGCCUUAGGGUUGUAAAGCUCUUUUACCAGGGAUGAUAAUGACAGUACCUGGAGAAUAAGCUCCGGCUAACUCCGUG